UCAUACAAAAUUUAAACUUUGACAGAGAAUUGCAAUUGUACAUUGACAUUCAAAAGUGUUUAUUUGUGCAAUUUCUUUAAAUGGCGGGAGAAGUUAUAGUUGAUGCAUUGCCAUAUAUUGAUCAAGGAUACGAUGAACCUGGAGUUAGAGAAGCAGCUUUGGCCAUGGUUGAAGAAGAAACUCGUCGUUAUAGACCGACAAAAAACUAUUUAGAACAUUUGCCAUCAUUAAAUAUUACUGCUUUUGAGACAGAGGUUAUGAAACAUGAAUUUGAGCGAAUGCAAAACCGUUUACCUAUGGAAGUACUCAGUAUGAAGCGCUAUGAGUUACCUCCACCUCCACCAGGUAAAAUGAAUGAUCUUGCAGCAUGGAAUGAAAGUGUAAAAAAUAGCAGUGCACAAUUGGAACAUCAGGCUACCAGAAUCUGUAAUCUUGAGUUAAUGAUGGAAUAUGGAUGCGAAGCAUGGAAAUCUUAUUUGGAAGUAUUAGUACAACUAGUGAGUCAAGCUCAAAAACAGCUACAAGCAUUAAGGAAAAGAAUUCAAGAGGUUAAUUGGCAAAGAAAAUCUAUGCAAACUCAAGGCGGAGAAAAGUUAAGGGCAUUAGAAGCACAAUGGGUAGGACUAGUGUCAAAAAAUUAUGAGAUUGAACAAGCGUGUGUUCACUUAGAAGAAGAAAUACAGAAAUCUAUGAUGAAUAAGGGUGAGGGUGUAGAAAUCAAUGAUGUGCCAGGAGAGGAAGAACCUGACAUUCCAGAGAAAAGUGCAACUGAGGUUAUGGCAACAAAGAUGGAUCAGCAAGAACAACAAAAUCAAGAACCUUAAAAUUAAACUAUCGAUCCUAUUCAUUUCCGAAAUAGGUUAUAUAAAGUUAUAUACGAUAUCGUAAGGAACACAAGGUAUUAUUUUAUAAAUUAUUGCUGGAUAAAUAUAUUAAGCUAGGUUAGUAAGUUAAUAUAAUGUAAUAUAAACAAUGAAUAAGUGGCGCAGAGACUAAUUUAUUAAAAAUAUUAUUAAUCUUUCGUUAUCGGUAGUGAAAUAUCGUCGAAGUGGUGUGAAAGAGGUAGUUGGUACAAUGCCGUAUGGUAUAUCAUGGCCUCGAUUUAUUUCCUUUAUUUCAUUAGUAUUUCUUGCGACUGCGUCUGGUUCGCAAGCUGUGCAUCUUAUAUACAGGCCCCUUGACGAUUUAGAUGAUUUGAUAGAAGAGGCAUUUCAGAAAAGACUUUCAGAACUACAAGAUCGUAAAUAAUAUGUAAUUAAAUAAAUUGAUUCGGUUACU
This is an RNA transcript of Bombus impatiens (common eastern bumble bee), 1278 nucleotides long. It is a transcript of the gene named pre-mRNA-splicing factor SPF27, with no coding region annotated. The record is from RefSeq and is a predicted model, not a curated record. The transcript is spliced from 5 exons. NCBI's taxonomy places the organism in Eukaryota, Metazoa, Arthropoda, Insecta, Hymenoptera, Apidae.